GGGGCUGAUUCUGGAUUCGACGGGAUUUGCGAAACCCAAGGUGCAUGCCGAGGGGCGGUUGGCCUCGUAAAAAGCCGCAAAAAAAUAGUCGCAAACGACGAAAACUACGCUUUAGCAGCUUAAUAACCUGCUUAGAGCCCUCUCUCCCUAGCCUCCGCUCUUAGGACGGGGAUCAAGAGAGGUCAAACCCAAAAGAGAUCGCGCGGAUGCCCUGCCUGGGGUUGAAGCGUUAAAACGAAUCAGGCUAGUCUGGUAGUGGCGUGUCCGUCCGCAGGUGCCAGGCGAAUGUAAAGACGAACUAAGCAUGUAGUACCGAGGAUGUAGGAAUUUCGGACGCGGGUUCAACUCCCGCCAGCUCCACCA
Molecule: transfer-messenger RNA, 363 nt
Filed under: Enterobacteriaceae (enterobacteria)
Lineage: Bacteria; Pseudomonadati; Pseudomonadota; Gammaproteobacteria; Enterobacterales
Also listed under: 3 other names
Description: Salmonella diarizonae Standard tmRNA
Rfam family: transfer-messenger RNA
About the family: Bacterial tmRNA, also known as 10Sa RNA or SsrA, is named for its dual tRNA and mRNA-like properties. Its role is to liberate the mRNA from a stalled ribosome. To accomplish this part of the tmRNA is used as a reading frame that ends in a translation stop signal.
Source: RNAcentral